GAUGAACGCUGGCGGCGUGCUUAACACAUGCAAGUCGAGCGAGAUUAUUCUUCGGAAUAGUCUAGCGGCGGACGGGUGAGUAACACGUGGGCAACCUGCCUUGUAGAGGGGGAUAGCCUUCCGAAAGGAAGAUUAAUACCGCAUAACGUUAUUGAAAGGCAUCUUUCGAUAAUCAAAGGAGCAAUCCGCUACAAGAUGGGCCCGCGGCGCAUUAGCUAGUUGGUGAGGUAACGGCUCACCAAGGCGACGAUGCGUAGCCGACCUGAGAGGGUGGUCGGCCACAUUGGGACUGAGACACGGCCCAGACUCCUACGGGAGGCAGCUGUGGGGAAUACUGCACAAUGGGGGAAACCCUGAUGCAGCAACGCCGCGUGAGUGAUGACGGCCUUCGGGUUGUAAAGCUCUGUCUUUGGGGACGAUAAUGACGGUACCCAAGGAGGAAGUCACGGCUAACUACGUGCCAGCAGCCGCGGUAA
Molecule: ribosomal RNA, 476 nt
Filed under: uncultured bacterium
Lineage: Bacteria
Description: partial 16S ribosomal RNA
Rfam family: Bacterial small subunit ribosomal RNA
Source: RNAcentral